GUGGGGAAUAUUGCGCAAUGGCCGAAAGGCUGACGCAGCGACGCCGCGUGUGGGAUGACGGCCCUCGGGUUGUAAACCACUGUCGGGGGGGACGAAUACAGGGCCUCGAAUAGGGGACCCUGGGUGACGGUACCUCCAAAGGAAGCACCGGCUAACUCCGUGCCAGCAGCCGCGGUAAUACGGAGGGUGCGAGCGUUGUCCGGAAUCACUGGGCGUAAAGGGCGCGUAGGCGGUUCGUUAAGUUGCUGGUGAAAUCCCGGGGCUCAACUCCGGGGCUGCCGGCAAGACUGGCGGGCUAGAGCACGGUAGAGGCGGAUGGAAUUCCCGGUGUAGCGGUGGAAUGCGUAGAUAUCGGGAAGAAUACCGGUGGCGAAGGCGUUCCGCUGGGCCGUUGCUGACGCUGAGGCGCGACAGCGUGGGGAGCAAACAGGAUUAGAAACCCUGGUAGUCC
Molecule: ribosomal RNA, 451 nt
Filed under: uncultured bacterium
Lineage: Bacteria
Description: bacterial SSU rRNA
Rfam family: Bacterial small subunit ribosomal RNA
Source: RNAcentral